RNAcentral lists this ribosomal RNA (357 nucleotides) under Tetracha brasiliensis. RNAcentral's name for it is "partial 16S ribosomal RNA". Lineage: Eukaryota; Metazoa; Arthropoda; Insecta; Coleoptera; Carabidae. The record is from RNAcentral.
AAAGGUAGCAUAAUCAUUAGUUUUUUAAUUGAAAUCUUGUAUGAAUGGUUGGACGAGGUAAAAACUGUCUUUAUUUAAUUAAAAUUAUAAUUUAACUUUUGAGUUAAAAGGCUUAAAUUUGGCUAAUAGACGAGAAGACCCUAUAGAUCUUUAUAAAAUAUUUAUUUAUUGUGUUAGGAUUAUUUAUUUAUAGAUAAUGAAGUUUAUUUUAUUGGGGUAAUAUAGAGAUUUAAUUAAUUCUUUGAAUAUUUAAACAAGAGUAAUUGGUUGAGUGAUCCAUUAUUAUUGAUUGUAAGAUUAAGUUACCUUAGGGAUAACAGCGUAAUUUUUUUAGAGAGUUCAUAUCGAUAAAAGAGU